Vibrio splendidus is the source of this 109-nucleotide non-coding RNA. NCBI's taxonomy places the organism in Bacteria, Pseudomonadati, Pseudomonadota, Gammaproteobacteria, Vibrionales, Vibrionaceae. The record is from Rfam.
UGACCCUUCUUAAGCCGAGGGUCACCUAGCCAACUGACGUUGUUAGUGAACCUUUCUUGUUCACGAUAUAUAUAGGCCAAUUGCGAGUAUUGCGAUUGGCCAUUUUUUU